GCCCAAGUGGCGUAAUGGCAGCCGCGGCAGACUCAAAAUCUGUUGGUAGUGAUACCGUGUCGGUUCGAGUCCGACCUUGGGCA
This 83-nucleotide transfer RNA is filed under the name Xanthomonas phage vB_XciM_LucasX. It matches the Rfam family "tRNA". Rfam says of the family: Transfer RNA (tRNA) molecules are approximately 80 nucleotides in length. Their secondary structure includes four short double-helical elements and three loops (D, anti-codon, and T loops). Further hydrogen bonds mediate the characteristic L-shaped molecular structure. tRNAs have two regions of fundamental functional importance: the anti-codon, which is responsible for specific mRNA codon recognition, and the 3' end, to which the tRNAs corresponding amino acid is attached (by aminoacyl-tRNA synthetases). tRNAs cope with the degeneracy of the genetic code in two manners: having more than one tRNA (with a specific anti-codon) for a particular amino acid; and 'wobble' base-pairing, i.e. permitting non-standard base-pairing at the 3rd anti-codon position. Lineage: Duplodnaviria; Heunggongvirae; Uroviricota; Caudoviricetes. The record is from Rfam by way of RNAcentral.